This 353-nucleotide ribosomal RNA is filed under the name uncultured rumen bacterium. RNAcentral's name for it is "bacterial SSU rRNA". It matches the Rfam family "Bacterial small subunit ribosomal RNA", at positions 20 to 363 of the family's 1533-position model. The record is from RNAcentral.
UGGCUCAGGAUGAACGCUGGCGGCGUGCUUAACACAUGCAAGUCGAACGAAGCCAAAAGGAAGCUUGCUUUCUUUGAAGCUUAGUGGCGGACGGGUGAGUAACGCGUGAGUAACCUGCCCUUCAGUGGGGAAUAACACAGAGAAAUCUGUGCUAAUACCGCAUAACGUCUUCUUGCCGCAUGACAGGAAGACCAAAGGAUUUAUUCGCUGAAGGAUGGACUCGCGUCCGAUUAGCUAGUUGGUGAGGUAACGGCCUACCAAGGCGACGAUNGGUAGCCGAACUGAGAGGUUGAUCGGCCACAUUGGGACUGAGACACGGCCCAGACUCCUACGGGAGGCAGCAGUGGGGAAUA